Molecule: ribosomal RNA, 468 nt
Filed under: uncultured bacterium
Lineage: Bacteria
Description: partial 16S ribosomal RNA
Rfam family: Bacterial small subunit ribosomal RNA
Source: RNAcentral
GACGAACGCUGGCGGCGUGCUUAACACAUGCAAGUCGAACGGAAAGGCCCUGCUUUUGUGGGGUGCUCGAGUGGCGAACGGGUGAGUAACACGUGAGUAACCUGCCCUUGACUUUGGGAUAACUUCAGGAAACUGGGGCUAAUACCGGAUAGGAGCUCCUGCUGCAUGGUGGGGGUUGGAAAGUUUCGGCGGUUGGGGAUGGACUCGCGGCUUAUCAGCUUGUUGGUGGGGUAGUGGCUUACCAAGGCUUUGACGGGUAGCCGGCCUGGGAGGGUGACCGGCCACAUUGGGACUGAGAUACGGCCCAGACGCCAACGGGGGGCAGCAGUGGGGAAUAUUGCACAAUGGGCGGAAGCCUGAUGCAGCAACGCCGCGUGCGGGAUGACGGCCUUCGGGUUGUAAACCGCUUUCGCCUGUGACGAAGCGUGAGUGACGGUAAUGGGUAAAGAAGCACCGGCUAACUACGUG